This 668-nucleotide ribosomal RNA is filed under the name Piptocephalis freseniana. RNAcentral describes it as "partial large subunit ribosomal RNA". It matches the Rfam family "Eukaryotic large subunit ribosomal RNA", at positions 441 to 974 of the family's 3401-position model. The record is from RNAcentral. Lineage: Eukaryota; Fungi; Zoopagomycota; Zoopagomycetes; Zoopagales; Piptocephalidaceae.
CCCCGAGGGUAUCCGUGCCGGGUGGAUGAGUNCUAAGAAGGGCCAUGCCUGGUCGUGCCCGAGGGGGUGUGCACUUUGCGUGGGCGGGUCAACGUCAGUUAGAGCCACCGGAAAAUCCUGGGAGGAAUGUUGGCGAAGGCAACGGACCCACUUAUAGCCUCCCUUGAAAACGGUGACCCUGACUGAGGAGUCGCAGCCUCAUCAUAUGGCGCGCGCGUCUCCCUUCCCCCUGUGGGUAAGGCAGCUUGCUGACUUGCCUCGGUAAGGGAGGGGACUGCGCGUGUGCCUGGUGGGGCCACGGACGUUGGCGAAAUGGUUCUCAACGACCCGUCUUGAAACACGGACCAAGGAGUCUAACAUGUGUGCGAGUAUUUGGGUGCAAAACCCGAAUGCGCAAUGAAAGUGACCGCAGGGGAGAAGGGUGACCCUCUCGGGGGUCGCCCCGCAUCCUCGACCGAUCCGAUUGCCCUCCGUGGCGACGGGUUUGAGUUUGAGCAUAUCUGUUAGGACCCGAAAGAUGGUGAACUAUGCCUGAGUAGGAUGAAGCCAGAGGAAACUCUGGUGGAGGUCCGUAGCGAUUCUGACGUGCAAUCGAUCGUCGAACUUGGGUAUAGGGGCGAAAGACUAAUCGAACCAUCUAGUAGCUGGUUCCCGCCGAAGUUUCCCUC